UACGUAGGGUGCGAGCGUUAAUCGGAAUUACUGGGCGUAAAGCGUGCGCAGGCGGUUUUGUAAGCCAGAUGUGAAAUCCCCGGGCUUAACCUGGGAAUGGCAUUUGGGCCUGCAAGGCUUGAGUGCGGCAGAGGAGACUGGAAUUCCUGGUGUAGCAGUGAAAUGCGUAGAUAUCAGGAGGAACACCGAUGGCGAAGGCAGGUCUCUGGGCUGACACUGACGCUCAUGCACGAAAGCGUGGGGAGCAAACAGG
Molecule: ribosomal RNA, 253 nt
Filed under: uncultured bacterium
Lineage: Bacteria
Description: partial 16S ribosomal RNA
Rfam family: Bacterial small subunit ribosomal RNA
Source: RNAcentral